This 431-nucleotide ribosomal RNA is filed under the name Pseudoblennius zonostigma. Its description in RNAcentral is "partial 12S rRNA". It matches the Rfam family "Bacterial small subunit ribosomal RNA", at positions 305 to 937 of the family's 1533-position model. Lineage: Eukaryota; Metazoa; Chordata; Actinopteri; Perciformes; Cottidae. The record is from RNAcentral.
UCCCCCGAAUGCCCAUGACACCUUGCUUAGCCACACCCCCACGGGACCUCAGCAGUGACAAACAUUAAGCCAUAUGCGAAAGCUUGACUUAAUUAUAGCUAAGAGGGCCGGUAAAACUCGUGCCAGCCACCGCGGUUAUACGAGGGGCCCAAGUUGAUGAGCCACCGGCGUAGAGCGUGGUUAGGACGAAGAUUACACUAGAGCCAAACACCUUCAAGGCUGUUAUACGCAACCGAAGACAGGAAGCCCAACCACGAAAGUGGCUUUAUAUUAUUUCAACCCACGAAAGCUAGGGGACAAACGGGGAUUAGACACCCUCCUAUGCCUAGCCAUAAACAUUGAUGGCCCAAUACAUCCGUCAUCCGCCUGGGGACUACGAGCAACAGCUUAAAACCCGAAGGACUUGGCGGUGCUUUAGACCCACCUAGAGG